GAAACACUAAUCUGCCAUGUCCUCAAUUUUUCCUCCACAUAAAGCUUUGCUAUUGAGCAAUGUUAAUAUUACAACUAAAAGGUCUCUCUGAUGCCACCAAAACAGCUUUGAGGGGUCAAACCCUGGUACAGUACCACAAGACCUCUAAAGAUUGAGAUCUGGAGAACUUUAAGGCUGAAUCAACACCUUAAACUCUUUGGAAUCUUUCUAAAAUCAUUUCUGUACCUCCUGUCAAUGUGUGUCAGGGUGUCAGGGUGCAUUAUCCUGCUGAAAGGCACCACUGCCAUCCUGGUGCCAUCUCCUCCCCAGCCCCUCAGAGGGACAUCCUGAUCCGUUCCUGAGCACGGCAUCUUCUUCCCUUUCCUCAUCGGGUCGCUGUUCCUCGGAGGAUAACCCGGAUACCUGCUGCGUCGUGUUUUUAGACCCAACAGGAAACACUGCACCAACAAAAAAGAGGAAGUGAAGGAAGUGACCUCUUUGUUUGGUCCCGUUAACCUGGAAUGUUGAUGACACUUUCCUGCUUUCUGGCGCCUUUUCAGCAUCAAUGGCGUCCCAUUAGUUGGUGCUGGCUGCGAACUCUAAUGUCCACUAGAGGGCAUUUUUGUUAUCUUCAAGACCAAAAGUUCUGAAUCAGGUCUGUGUCCUUUGGAAGAAAUCCCAUCAUUCAUACAUUCCAACCAAUUCAAAUCAAACCGAUCCUUAACCCCUUGACCUGGAGCAUGGAAACUUCCAAAGGCUACAGAGAGGACUUGUCUCACCAGAGGCACUAGCUCGCCCUUCUGCAUGAUGGCCUGGAGCUGUUUCCCCCUUUCAGACCCGGAC
This is a long non-coding RNA of Clarias gariepinus (North African catfish), 822 nucleotides long. RefSeq lists it as uncharacterized. The record is from RefSeq and is a predicted model, not a curated record. The transcript has 7 exons. Lineage: Eukaryota; Metazoa; Chordata; Actinopteri; Siluriformes; Clariidae.